RNAcentral lists this ribosomal RNA (331 nucleotides) under uncultured bacterium. Its description in RNAcentral is "bacterial SSU rRNA". It matches the Rfam family "Bacterial small subunit ribosomal RNA", at positions 568 to 898 of the family's 1533-position model. The record is from RNAcentral.
CGCGUAGGCGGGCAGCCAAGUCUGGGGUGAAAUCCUUCGGCUUAACCGGAGAAUUGCCUGAGAUACUGGCUGUCUUGAGGGAGGUAGGGGCACGCGGAACUUCCGGUGGAGCGGUGAAAUGCGUUGAUAUCGGAAGGAACGCCGGUGGCGAAAGCGGCGUGCUGGCCCUCUUCUGACGCUGAGGCGCGAAAGCCAGGGGAGCGAACGGGAUUAGAUACCCCGGUAGUCCUGGCCCUAAACGAUGGGUACUAGGUAGUGGACUUGACAUGGGUUCACUGCCGGAGCAAAAGUGUUAAGUACCCCGCCUGGGGAGUAUGGUCGCAAGGCUGAA